UACGUAGGGUGCGAGCGUUAAUCGGAAUUACUGGGCGUAAAGCGUGCGCAGGCGGUUUUGUAAGCCAGGUGUGAAAUCCCCGGGCUCAACCUGGGAAUGGCAUUUGGGACUGCAAGGCUGGAGUGCGGCAGAGGAGACUGGAAUUCCUGGUGUAGCAGUGAAAUGCGUAGAUAUCAGGAGGAACACCGAUGGCGAAGGCAGGUCUCUGGGCUGGUACUGACGCUCAGGAGCGAAAGCGUGGGGAGCGAUCCGG
This 253-nucleotide ribosomal RNA is filed under the name uncultured bacterium. RNAcentral describes it as "partial 16S ribosomal RNA". It matches the Rfam family "Bacterial small subunit ribosomal RNA", at positions 524 to 776 of the family's 1533-position model. The record is from RNAcentral.